UCACGGUUUACACCGGCAGUUUCAUUAGAGUCCCCGGCUUAACCCGCUGGCAACUAAUGAUAAGGGUUGCGCUCGUUAUGGAACUUAAUCCGACACCUCACGGCACGAGCUGACGACAACCAUGCAGCACCUCGUAAAUUGCCCCGAAGGGAAGGCACCUUUCAGCACCGGUCAAUCUACGUUCAAACCCAGGUAAGGUUCCUCGCGUAUCAUCGAAUUAAACCACAUGUUCCUCCGCUUGUGCGGGCCCCCGUCAAUUCCUUUGAGUUUCAUCGUUGCCGACGUACUCCCCAGGUGGAUUACUUAAUGCUUUCGCUUAGACGCGUACGGUAUAUCGCACACAUCGAGUAAUCAUCGUUUACGGCGUGGACUAC
This 374-nucleotide unclassified non-coding RNA is filed under the name uncultured Bacteroidales bacterium. Its description in RNAcentral is "contains 16S-23S intergenic spacer region". The record is from RNAcentral. Lineage: Bacteria; Pseudomonadati; Bacteroidota; Bacteroidia; Bacteroidales.